GGACUACCCGGGUAUCUAAUCCUGUUUGCUCCCCACGCUUUCGCACCUCAGUGUCAGUAUGAGCCCAGGUGGUCGCCUUCGCCACUGGUGUUCCUUCCUAUAUCUACGCAUUUCACCGCUACACAGGAAAUUCCACCACCCUCUGCCCUACUCUAGCUCGCCAGUUUUGGAUGCAGUUCCCAGGUUGAGCCCGGGGAUUUCACAUCCAACUUAACGAACCACCUACGCGCGCUUUACGCCCAGUAAUUCCGAUUAACGCUUGCACCCUCUGUAUUACCGCGGCUGCUGGCAC
Molecule: ribosomal RNA, 292 nt
Filed under: uncultured bacterium
Lineage: Bacteria
Also listed under: 1 other name
Description: partial 16S ribosomal RNA
Source: RNAcentral